CCUACGGGUGGCAGCAGUGGGGAAUAUUGCACAAUGGGCGAAACCCUGAUGCAGCGACGCCGCGUGAGUGAAGAAGUAUUUCGGUAUGUAAAGCUCUAUCAGCAGGGAAGAAAAUGACAGUACCUGACCAAGAAUCCCUGGCUAUUAACGUGCCAGCAGCCGCGGCAAGACGUAGGGUGCGAGCGUUAUCCGGAUUUACUGGGUGUAAAGGGAGCGUAGACGGUUAUGUAAGUCUGGAGUGAAAGCCCGGGGCCCAACCCCGGGACUGCUUUGGAAACUGUGUAACUGGAGUACAGGAGAGGCAGGCGGAAUGCCUGGUGUAGCGGUGAAAUGCGUAGAUAUCAGGAGGAACACCGGCGGCGAAGGCGGCCUGCUGGACUGAAACUGACGUUGAGGCUCGAAAGCGUGGGGAGCAAACAGGAUUAGAUACCCUAGUAGUC
Molecule: ribosomal RNA, 440 nt
Filed under: uncultured bacterium
Lineage: Bacteria
Description: partial 16S ribosomal RNA
Rfam family: Bacterial small subunit ribosomal RNA
Source: RNAcentral